Molecule: ribosomal RNA, 722 nt
Filed under: Mammaliicoccus sciuri
Lineage: Bacteria; Bacillati; Bacillota; Bacilli; Caryophanales; Staphylococcaceae
Description: bacterial SSU rRNA
Rfam family: Bacterial small subunit ribosomal RNA
Source: RNAcentral
GCUUGCUUCUCUGAUGUUAGCGGCGGACGGGUGAGUAACACGUGGGUAACCUACCUAUAAGACUGGGAUAACUCCGGGAAACCGGGGCUAAUACCGGAUAAUAUUUUGAACCGCAUGGUUCAAUAGUGAAAGACGGUUUCGGCUGUCACUUAUAGAUGGACCCGCGCCGUAUUAGCUAGUUGGUAAGGUAACGGCUUACCAAGGCGACGAUACGUAGCCGACCUGAGAGGGUGAUCGGCCACACUGGAACUGAGACACGGUCCAGACUCCUACGGGAGGCAGCAGUAGGGAAUCUUCCGCAAUGGGCGAAAGCCUGACGGAGCAACGCCGCGUGAGUGAUGAAGGUCUUCGGAUCGUAAAACUCUGUUGUUAGGGAAGAACAAAUUUGUUAGUAACUGAACAAGUCUUGACGGUACCUAACCAGAAAGCCACGGCUAACUACGUGCCAGCAGCCGCGGUAAUACGUAGGUGGCAAGCGUUAUCCGGAAUUAUUGGGCGUAAAGCGCGCGUAGGCGGUUUCUUAAGUCUGAUGUGAAAGCCCACGGCUCAACCGUGGAGGGUCAUUGGAAACUGGGAAACUUGAGUGCAGAAGAGGAGAGUGGAAUUCCAUGUGUAGCGGUGAAAUGCGCAGAGAUAUGGAGGAACACCAGUGGCGAAGGCGGCUCUCUGGUCUGUAACUGACGCUGAUGUGCGAAAGCGUGGGGAUCAAACAGGAUUAGAUA